AUGCUUCAUGAGAAGGAAGACCAGUGUCAAGCAAACACCGUCAGUGGUAUAUGUUAUUCUGUAAUUGGCAUUCAUGGCGUCGCGGGGUCAGGGAAAUCAACACUUGCCCAGUUUGUUUAUGAUCAUGAGAAAAAGUGCAAGGAACAGAGAAUGGAAGGCCAUUUUGAUGUUGUAAUGUGGAUUCAUAUUUCUCAGACAUUCGAUCCAGAUUCGAUUUUCAGGGAGAUGAUGGAGGGGGCUACUGGGGAAGCUUGCCCAGAAUUCUCUAGUCUUAACGUCCUAAAGGAAAAACUGGAGGACGAACUGCGUGGGAAACGGACUUUGUUGGUGCUGGAUGAUGUCUGGUUCAACAUCAGGAAUUCAGGAGACAGUGAAGAACUGCAAAACUUAAUUUCUCCGGUGAAAGUUGGGAAGGCAGGAAGCAGAAUCUUGGUGACUAGUCGAACUAAAGCUGCAUUAGUAACCCUGGGUGCUAUAAAAGAGAGACGUAUUCCAAUAUCUGACCUGGGUGAUGAAGUGUUCCUUGAAAUGUUCAUGCAUCAUGCACUCCGAGAUGCAACGGUAAGUGACAAAGAUCGUAGAAUACUUGAAAUGAUUGGGAAGGACAUUGCAGAAAAGCUGAAGAAAUCACCUCUAGCAGCCAGAGCAGUGGGUUCACGGCUCCGUGAGAUACAAACUGUUGAGUUUUGGAGGAGUCAGAAAGAUCGGAACCUUAUGAACGACACGAUGGGAGCUCUAUGGUGGAGCUACCAUUAUCUAGAUGAGCAGGUCAGGCGAUGUUUCGCUUACUGCAGUAUUUUCCUCAGGAGAUACCGUUUGAACCGUGAUGAGUUAGUUAUGUUGUGGGUGGCAGAAGGGUUCAUAAAUAUUAGUAUGCCUGAAGAGGAAAUGGAAGAUGUUGCUCGGUUUUACUUUGAUGAAUUGCUAUCGGCCUCAUUUCUGCAAUUAGGAGGGAAACAAAAGGUAGAUGGAUGUGAGGUUGAUUACUUUACGAUUCAUGAUCUGCUGUAUGAUUUAGCAGAGGAGGUUGCCGGAAGAGAUUGCUUCAGGAUAGAGAAAGACUUCACAGGAGAAGUUCCUCCAGGUGUCCGCUAUCUUUUUGUUGGGACUUGUAAUAUGGAGAUGCAUACUGAGAAGAUAUCUGGAUUGCGAAAUUUACGCACUCUCAUCAUCAAUGACAAGAUAUAUGUUACAUCAAACCAUGACAAAGUCUUAUUAGUGCGUAUGUUCAAUAUGUUCAUGCGGCUGCAGAAAUUGCGAGUAUUAAAAUUAAGUUUUAGAAGAUGUGGUCUUCCCACGUUCUCAUUCCCAGAUUCUAUUGGUCAGUUGAAGCAUCUGCGUUAUUUUUCUUUUGUGGUGGGUGAUAAAUACCAAGCUAACUGUACCAAGCACUUUUACCAAGCUUUACCACAUGCAUGUGGUAGAUUUUGGUCUUUGCAAACAUUUGGCGUUUUCUAG
This 1458-nucleotide ribosomal RNA is filed under the name Triticum aestivum (bread wheat). Its description in RNAcentral is "partial small subunit ribosomal RNA". The record is from RNAcentral. Lineage: Eukaryota; Viridiplantae; Streptophyta; Magnoliopsida; Poales; Poaceae.